GCAUUGCUGACGAGUCCAAAACAGGACGAAAUAGCUGUGCAGUGC
Echinostoma caproni is the source of this 45-nucleotide non-coding RNA. The record is from Rfam. NCBI's taxonomy places the organism in Eukaryota, Metazoa, Platyhelminthes, Trematoda, Plagiorchiida, Echinostomatidae.